RNAcentral lists this long non-coding RNA (20378 nucleotides) under Citrus x clementina. RNAcentral's name for it is "Citrus clementina (C. clementina) long non-coding RNA (CCLE_LNC002440)". Lineage: Eukaryota; Viridiplantae; Streptophyta; Magnoliopsida; Sapindales; Rutaceae. The record is from RNAcentral.
AAAUAAGCCCUUAAUUUACUCCUUAUUUACUGACGCCAGAUGAUAAUAUCAAAUUAAAAUAUUCAUCUAGUUGGCUGAAUAAUCUAUUCUACUCAUGAAAAAGCUAAAUAAAGUAAAGAAGCACGAGCAUUUUAAGUGUAAUUAAGAUGACAGCAAUGGGUAAAUAUCAUCGAAUAUAUUUAUUUUGGGGAUUGAGACAAAAGAUAUUUUUGAAAUUUAUAAGAAAUUUAAGUAGUGGACUCGUGUCCAUAUGAGGACACGCGACUGAGCAGUCGCUGCACUCCUUAUGGAUUGCCACUUGCUAGCCAUCAUGCACAUGAUCUUAUCCAUGAUUGCUAAUAAAAUUUCAAACUUUAAAUAUUUAACAAAUCACCUCACACCAUUAUCAGCCCUCUUCUACACUUUUUCAUAUCUUUUAAAAUCUAAAAUAUUCCCUAUACCAUGGUUAAGUGAGGUACCCUGAUCCCAAAAAAAUAUAAACUCAUUAUUUUGGUGAGGUUUUUAUUCAUAUCUCUUAGAACUUGACACGACUUAAAAGUAUUUGAUUUACUCUAAAAUAUAAGAGUGCCUAAUUAUAAUAUAUCUCGGUGAGUCCGAGGUCGAUCCACAGAAAAAAGAUUUAAUUAAUUUAUUUUAUUUUAUCUAAAAUUUGAAAAUAAAACUUAAAUAUAAACAACUUAAUUUAACUAUGUGGAUUCACUCUUAGUAGUAAAUAAAACUUAAUAAAUUCUUUUUGCCAUUUUUUUAGAUUUAUUGCCCAAAAGAUUAAUUAUAUAAAUUAUUAUUAUUUUCCCUUUAAUUUUAUGAUGGAUUAAGCAUUCAUUGUGCCAAAAUUUAAUUUGUCUACAAUAAGUCAAAAUACCAUUUUAUUAUACCUUAUAUUAAGAUAACAAGAAUUUAUUGUGCCAAACUCCCUUGUUUGUCUACAAUAAAUCAAAAUUUUAUAAUAUAAAAUAUGUAUAAAAUUAAAUAGAAAAUAAUUUAAUUUAUAAAAUUAAAAAUAGAAUUUGAACAAAUCAUAUUUAUUUCCUAAGAGUUUCACCUUCCCGUAACUAUUAAUAUUUAGCUAAACAUUUUUUUAAUAAAGGAAAUUGCUAAAAUUGAAAAACACAUAAUUAAAAAUGGAAUUUGAAAAUUGAAAUAAAACUAAUUUUAUUGAUUGAAAAUAACUUACAAAGAGAGAUGAGAAGAAGAAUUUGGGGGGAAAGAAGAGAAGAGAAGGCGUCUAGAGGUGUGUUCAUCCCCCUCUCUAUUUAUACUAAUACAUGGUAAAUCCACACCACACAAAUAAAAAAAUCUAAUUAUAUUUUAACCUUACAUUUGUCCCACUAAUAAUCUCACUAAUAAAACAUAAACCUAACUUAUCCACUCAAGCAUAUCGAACACAUUCCACUAACAAUUACCAUACCUAACAUGAUAAAAACUUAUAAUUUUACAAUUACCACAUUUAUCGUGGUAAAAAUAUAAAAAAUUACAACAAAAGUCUUGGAUCGUUCUCAACAAUGACAUAAUUUCUCAGACUUCCAAAAUCCAAAUUUGACAUCCAUACAUUUGUUCGGAGCCUCAAAUUGCAUGAAAUUAUUAUUUUUACCUAAUAAACAUACAAAAAUACACAAAAUCAAAUAUUUUAAAAAAUAAUUAGAAAUUCACAAUAUGUUACACAAUUACAAAUAUAAAUUACAUUAAUAGCACAAAAUAACAUUUUUAUCCCUUAAUAAACAUAUAAUUUUUAACACUAAUAAGAACUCAAAAUCCACUUAAAACAAUUAGCGCUGUCUAUGUGGGGAGUGUAUAAAAAGCCUCCACAGUGGUUACUAGACUGAUCGCGAUGUGUACUUAUAAAUUGUGGCACCUGACGUGCCCUCUUAUGCCGUGAUGACAUAUUUUGCACGAGUGAGAGAUGCAGCAGUGUGGAGGUCAACAAUCCAGCAAGAAGAACAACUCAGUCCAAUAAGGGCAAGUCCGUCAAAUAAUUUACCGGUGUUUGCUCUAAUGAGGAGCUCGUUUCUUAAUGACGCUUUAAAGAACUUGCUCAUGCCAUUCUUCGGGCCGUAGGCUCUCAAAUACAUGAACCAGUAGAUCCUCCCACUACUCGAGACAUUCUAUUAACAUGGGCAGAAAAGCGAAUUGUCCCACACUUUGAAGUGCCCGAAUUAAAGGCGAUGAAAUAAGGUAUGAUCCCCCAGGUACCUGACUUAAGUCACAACCCACAUCCCCUAGGGAGGAGCCUUAUACAGCCUCUAGCUACUUGCGAGCUUCUUAAAUGGGAGUGGUAUCUCAAGGUGCACCUAGGAUACCCCGUAAGUUCUUAAAAAAAAAAUAAAACACCUGGAUUCUCAAGUAAAGCUACUUUCUCAAAAGUAAAAUGUCGCAAAUACUCUAACGCCAGUAGGGUACAACUCGCUAUUUACUAUGGAGAUUCGGACAACAACUCUCCCAGAUACUUUCGCCAUGCUCAGGCACCCCAGUAUUUGGGUACCUCAGAUCCGAAAGAACACACCGAACUGUAUCAUGAUUAAAUGCUUAUCAAGGGUGUCGACAACAAGGCUAUGUGUCAGAUGUUUCCUUACACACUUACCGGACUCACUAAAUCUUAGUUAAAUCUUUAAAGGUAGGUUAUUCUCCCUAGACCAGCUCCUUACGGAGUUCAUUCAUGAAUUUGGUUAUGCUGCCUCCCUUGAUCAAGCAGCAAUCAGGCUUGCCUUCUUUAAGUAAGGGGAAUAUGAGCUUUUGCUAAUUAUGUAGCCCGCUUCCACCAAGAAGUAUUGUGGACGAGCAUGUAUGGUCAUCAACACACACUAAAACACUUUGAAAAAAACAUGCAGUUAAGAAUGUUGUGGCAUUCCUUUCAAAAGUGUCGCUCUCUCUCAUAUGGGGAAGCCCUUCUUGAGCCUUGCAGCAAAUCGAGAUGGAUGAGAAGUGACACCUAAAAUGGCAAGAAGACAAAGCAGAGGAUAUGAAAAACAGGAAAAAACCUAAGAAGCCUAAAGUACCCUAAGAUAAGAUGCCCCGCCUACCACCACUCGUCAGAUCAUCUCAAUCAGACUGACAGAACCUUUAGAAAAACCUUAGUAUAAAUCUCGUCAUGCUUUGAACUACUAUCUAGAACAGAUCUUCUACUAGAUUUGAGAUAGCGGCCUACUUCACCCACCCAGGCUCAUGCGCAUGUACCUUAACAUGAAGCGUAGCCUGAAGUAUUGUGAGUUUCAUGAGGAUUUCGGACAUAGCACGGCUGAGUGCUUCAGUUUGUGUAAGGAAAUCAAAUCUCUAAUUCUCAGUGGGCACUUCAAGGUGUUCGUCACAAAUAUGAGGCAAGCCUGGAAGUCUAUGUAGUAAGAUAAGGGCAACCAUGUACCUCAUACCAACCCUAAAUGUGAGGCACCCCAAGGAUCCAAGAAAGAAGUUUAUGUUUGAAUGGUUGCACGCGAACCUACUUCAGCCAGCCAGUCCAAAAGCCAUAAAAAUUAUAAUAGAUUGCCAUUGCCAAUUGUUAUCAUUGGCCAAGGAAUCCAUUUCAAUGACCAUGAGGUACCUCUCCAUCCUAUCUCAAUUUUUUUCAUAGAAAAAGAUGCUGAAGAUAUCUCGUACCCCAUGACGACGCUUUGGUCAUCACUGUUAACAUGAAUAUAUUUAUAAUGAUGAUUUUGAUGAUAACAAACCAAAAAAAAUGAUUAAUUUUUAAAAGCUCAAAUUAUUUUUCAUACUUUUUUAAAUAAAUCACUAUUUUGAUAAAGUAAAGGUUUUAUACUCAAAUGGAAAAUGAUUUGAUGAAAUUAGUUAUUUUUCAAGUUCAUGAUCUAAUUGAAUAGUUUUGAAAACUUUGAAAUUAACAAAUAAUUGCUUAAAAUUUUUAUAAAGUUUUGGGACAAAAUUAUAAUUUUGGAAAACAGUUCACCGUAGUGGUCACUGUAGCAAAUGGCUAACCGACAUCUUCAUAACGGCUAGCCGACAUCUUGAUAACGGCUAGCCGACAUCAAACAGAAUUGAAGAUUAGCCUCUGGACACUAACGGUGAUAUAGCUUAAUAACAGCUAACCGACUGAUAACUCUAUGAAAUAAGAGUUAUCAUGACACUUUUAUACUUAAAUCAAUAAUACUUAGAGAGUAAAUAAUGUGUUUUCAUUGUAUUUUUAUUAUAUUUUGCAUAAACAUUCAUCUUAGUUUAUUUGUAAUAAAUUUUGUUUGAUUUAGAAUAAUUUGUGUGUUAAAUCAUAUGCAUAAUUGUAGGUGUCCGGAAGCCCAAAUUUCAAGGAAGGAAUGUUUAUGCAAUAGGCUUGCAAAAUAUGGAAAAGAUUUUAGCUACAAAAGAAUUGAAACAAAUCUGGAACAAUGCAGUUGCUGUAGCCGUUGCUGUAGCAAUCCUGGAACAACGACAGAGAAAAUUCCGCUUGGGAUACUUGCAGAAUUGUGAUCUGCAGUUUCCUAAUCUGACUUAUGCAUACCCUAGGCUUCCGUGUACCGUAAUUUUUAGCUAUAAAAGAAGCACACAUCAUAAGGAAUAAGAGGGGCUGUCACCCAAGGAGAAAAACCACAAAGAAACAAAAGAAAAAGAAGAUUCAAGAGAGAGAUUAAGGGCUACACAAGAGGAGAAAUUACAGAGAUCAAUUGUGAGCUCAGUCUUUCUUAUUCUUCUCUUGUUUUCUUGUUUGCUAUUUAUUCAUGGGGAUGUGUUUCGUGGUCAAAACCUUGUUCUUUAUUUUUCUUUUCCAAAUCAUGAACUAAAUUUAUUUGUAGUUGAGUGAUAAACAAUCUUGAUGGUUUAUUGACUGAAAAUAUGAGUUGUUGUAUGUUUGUUGUAGCAUUUUGUUUUGAUAGAAUUUAUUUUUAUUCAUUAUUUCGGCUGAUCACCCAUUUAAUGAUAUUAGCUAAGGAAGAGCCACAAAAGGGUCUAUCUUAGUGGAACCUAUCAAAGCAAUACUUGAUAUUAAAUUGGAUUUCUUGGAUUUAGUUUUACUUGAGUCCUAAAAAGGUCAUGCUUGAUUUAAGAUUAGUGAUGAACUAGACAUAAAGAUUCACCUUGUAGGGUAAAUGGAACAUAAGCGUGUAAUGUUAUAUCUUAUGUUGACAUAACAACUGAUCAAUGUUAGGUUGCAUAUAGAUAUAAGAUAUCCAACAUGCGACGGCUGAGGAAGCAUAAGGAUUCUGCCCAGUGCUGUAGUAGAUACUGCAGUAACCGAGCCAACCAUUAGAAAAUAGUCAAAACCAUUAAGAAAGUUUAUUCACUCAACUACUCCAUAUUCCCAUUGGUUUUAUCCUUGAGUUUGACGAGAUAAUUUACUUUGUUGCAUUUUAUUUUUUGUGUUUUUAUUUUAAUUAGUAUAUUAGUUUCAUUAGUUGUUUUAUUUUAAUUUAGAACAAAAUCUGCACUGUUAAAAUUGUUGUAGCAAGUCUGAUAACAUCAAUCCCUGUGGAAACGAUCUUGAAUACUUAUCAUUAUAUUACUUGUUGUAUACACUUGCACAUUGACACUAAUAGCAUUAGUAUUUAUACCCAAUACCAACAUCGAACAGAAUUGAAGAUUAGCCUCUGGACACUAACGAUAAAUCGACUUCUUGAAAACGGUAAGCUGACAUCUUCUUUGCAGGUCACUGGAUUAUAAGGGAGAGCCGACAAUUUGAAAUUCUAUCCAACAGUAACCUACUCAAGUCAAAACGGCAAUCCGACUUCGAGUUAACGACAAUCCAACUUCGAGCAAAUUGUCUGUAACAACUAGUUUUUAGCUCAAACUAUAAAAAUGCUCAUUUAAACACAAGCUAUAAUGAUUCCAACUAUUAUCAUUGAGCAAACUAUUGAGCAUACAACUUUCAUUAAGCUUUAAAUUCUUGUAUUCAUCUCAUUCAUUCACACAUUGAGCUUUCAUUUGUGAUCAAACACAUUAUGUAAGAGAAAUUUAUUUUUAAUCCUUUUUGUAAAAUCAAGUUGAGAGGUUGUAAUUGUUGGGAUACACUUGGGUAAAGAGAUUGGGGAUAAUCUCUUGUUGUAAAGGUCUAUUGAUAGCUUGGAAGUCAAUUGUAUGAGUUGUUGAAGCCUUGGAGGCUAUCUUAGUAAAAUCCAUUAAGCCCGGUGAGCUUGGAGGUGUGGACGUAAGCACAGUUGGCCGAAUCACGUAAAAGUCUCGUGUUUGCUCUCUCUUCCCCUAUCUCUUUAUUUUUUAUUGCACAUUAAUUUAUUUAUUUCUAAUUUGAUUAUUUUAUUUAAAUUGUAUUAAGGAUCUUAGUAGCUUAAAUUUUUAGAAACCCAAUUCACCCCGUUCUUGGGUUGCCUAGUUAGAAUUUCAUUUGGUAUCAGAGCUUGGUGCUCUUGUUUAGACUUAACCGUCUAGAUUUAAAUAUCCAUAACAACUCAAAAUGACUCUAUCUUUAGGGAAAUACAAUCCACAACUAGGCCACCAUUUUUUUAUGGUAAUGACUAUCCAUAUUGGAAAACUAGGAUGAGAAUUUAUGUGCAAGCUUUUGAUUAUGAAAUUUGGGAAGUUUUUUGUGACGGCCCAUUCAUGCCAAUGGCUAAAAAUGAAGUAGGAGAUGAUAUUCCAAAACCUUUAUGAUAUUCCAAAACCUUUAAGUCAAUGGAGUGAGUUAGAAAAGAAAAAGAUAUAUUUAAACUCUAAGGCAAUGAAUGCUUUAUUUUGUCCUCUUGAUAAGAAAGAGUUUCAUAGAGUGUCUAGUUGUGAGAGUACUCAAUAAAUAUAGGACAAACUUGAGGUUGUCUAUAAAGGGACAAAUCAAGUUAAAGAAUCUAAAAUUAGUACAUACACUUGACAAUAUGAAUUGUUCAAAAUGGAAUAAAAUGAAAGUGUGUGUUCUAUAUAUACUAGAUUUACAGACAUAGUGAACAUUCUAGGAGCUUUUUAGGAAAAACGUUUUCAAAUAGUGAGAAAAUUAAGAAAAUUAUUAGGUCACUUCCAAAGGAAUAGAGACCUACGAGGGUUGCCAUUGAGGAAGCCAAAGAUUUAAAUACCUUACCUAUUGAUGAUUUGAUUGGUUCUCUUAUUUCAUAUGAGGAAGACUUGACAGCAUACAAAGGCAAUGAGGAGAAGAAGAAAAGCAUUGCUCUCAAAGCCUCAAAACAUGAGAGUGAUGAGGAAAGUGAGCUGGAUGAUGAGGAGAUGACUAUACUAGCUAGGAGAUUCAGAAAAUUCUACAAGAAAACUAGUGAACGGAGAAGGUUCAAAAACUACAAGAAUAAAAAAAAAAGACGAAGGAGCCAAUUACUUACACGUGCAAGAAGUCCGGACACAUACGAUCAGAGUGUCAUCUUCUCAACAAGCUCAAGAAGAAAGCAAUGGUGACCACAUAGAAUGACAGCGAUGAGGAAACAAGUGAUGAUGAAAAGCAACAAGAAAUGACAAAUAUAGCUCUCAUGGCAAUCGAGGAAGAUCCAUUUGAUGACCUCGAUGAAGUAAGUGAUCUUCUUACAUAUGAUGAAUUACAUGAUGCUUUUAAAGAAUUGCAUGAUGAGUGGAUGAAAAUUAGUAAAAUGAAUGCAUGCCUUAAAAAGAACAUGGUAGAACUUUCAAAUGAAAAGGACGUUUUACAAAAAAAAUGUAAUGACUCAUUACAUGAAAAGAUUAAAGGACUAGAGUUAGAUAAUCUAAUGUUGCAUGAUAAAAUUGCAUCAUUUAAAGGUAAACAAAGUAUUUUGUAUGAGCAUGAAAAAUCACAUGUUGAUGAAUUGAUGAAAGAAAAUGAAAUGCUCAAGAAAAAGAACAUAGAACUUAGUGAUGUUGUCUUAAAAUUUACAAAUGGGCAAAAGAUGUUGGAUAACUUGCUUAACUCACAAAAAUGUGUGUUUGACAAAGGAGGUACCUCUAUUAAUAAUCAAGUUAUAUGUCACCUUUGUAAUCAAGAUGGUCACAUGAAGUAUAAACGUUCAGUUAAAAGAAAUGCAUAUUAUGAAGUAAAAUGUGUUUGGGUUCCAAAAAGAACCAACGCUAGCACUCAAAGACCCAAAAAAGUUUGGGUACCUAAGACUUAAGAUUUUCUUUACAGGAUUUGAAGAAGAGGAAGAAUAAAUGGUAAUUGGACAAUGGUUGCUCAAGACAUAUGACCAGAAACUAUAUAUGGUUUUUAAGUUUUACCAAAAUCGAAAACGGUGGAGAUGUUUCAUUUGGAGACAAUUCAAAGGGAAAGAUUCUCGGAAUGGGUAAUAUCGGUAAAGUAUCCUCAACUUUAAUUGAGAAUGUAUGUUUAGUUGAAAAUUUGAAACACAACUUGAUUAGUAUUAGUCAAUUGUGUAACAAGGGUUAUAAAGUUGUUUUUGAUAAAACGAGAUGUGUUAUUGAAAAUGCAUGUGAUGGUAAAAUUUUAUUUGUUAGAAAUAGAUGUAGUAAUGUUUAUACCAUUGAUAUAGAUUGUGCAUCUACUAUCGAUAAGUGAUUUUCCGCAUUCCAUGAUGAUGGUUAGUUAUGGCAUAGAAGACUAGGUCAUGCUAGCAUGGAUUUGAUUUAAAAAAUCUCAAAAAAUGAUUUGGUUAAACGUCUACCAAAAAACUAGUUUUCAAAAUGAUAGAAUUUGUGAAGCUUCCAAUUUGUAAAAAAGAUCAAAACUUUUAAAAAAAACAAGAAUCAUGUCUCUACUUCAAAACUACUUCGAUUAAUUCACAUGAACUUGUUUGGACCUUCUAGAUAUGUUAGUUUAAGUGAAAAAUAUUAUGCAUUUGUAAUUGUGGAUGAUUAUUCUAGAUACACAUGCGUAUUGUUCUUAACUAAUAAGGAUGAUGCCUUUAAUGCAUUUCUUGUAUUAGAAGUGAUCAUGGUGGAGAACUUGAAAAUCAUGCAUUUGAGAAUUUUUGUAAUGAUUUUGGGAUUGAGCAUCAAUUUUCAUCACCUAGGACUCCACAACAAAAUGGAGUUGUUGACAGAAAGAAUAGGUCUAUCCAAGAAAUGGCUAGGAUCAUGUUGAAUGAAAAUACUUUGCCAAAGUACUUUUGGGCUGAAGCUGUUAACACUGCUUGUUAUAUUUUAAAUCGUGUGUUGAUUAGACCUUAUCUUAAUAAGACUCCCAAUGAGCUUUGGAAAGAUAGAAAACCCAACAUUGAUUUUUUCAAAGUUUUUGGAUGCAAAUGUUUUAUUUUAAACACAAAAGAUAAUUUUGACAAAUUUGAUCCAAAAUCUGAUGUUGAUAUUUUUCUUGGCUAUUCAAAUACAAGCAAAGUUUAUAGAGUGUACAAUAAACGAGCUUUGGUUGUGGAAGAAUCUAUGCAUGUUACAUUUGAUGAAUCUAACCAUUCCUCUACGGAGAAAGUUGUUGUUGAUGAUGAUGCAAAUAAAAAGCUACAAGAAGAUUCAUCAAAGAAUAGCCAAAAGGAUGCACCACUUGAAAAUCAAGAGGAGCAACGUGAAGAAACAAAUGCGGAGCAAAAGGAAGGCAUUCUCAAACACUCCCUAAGGAGUAGCGGUCUAAAGACUUAAUUUUAGGAGGCCACUAGAUCAUCAUUUAGAAAUACUUGUGAGCAUGCUGCAUUCAUAUCUCAAAUUGAAUCAAAAUCUUUUGCGGAUGCGGAAAAUGAUGAAUCUUGGAUUAUGACAAUGCAAGAGGAGUUGAAUCAAUUGGAGAGAACAAUGUGUGGGCAUUGGUUCCUAAACCUAAACAUCAAUCCAUUAUAGGUACUAAAUGGGUAUUUAGAAAUAAAAUAGAUGAAUCCGGUGUGGUUAUAAGAAAUAAAGCUAGAUUAGUGGCUCAAUGGUACGACCCAGAAGAAGGAAUUGAUUUUGAUGAAACAUUUGCACCUGUAGCUAGAUUAGAAUCCAUUAGGAUGCUUUUAGCAUUUGCAUGUUAUAAAGAUUUCAUUUUAUACCAAAUGGAUGUCAAAAGUACAUUUUGAAAUGGAUACAUUAUGGAGGAAGUUUAUGUGAAACAACCCUCUGGUUUCGAAAAUGAAAAUUUUUCAGAUCACGUUUAUAAGUUAACAAAAGCAUUGUAUGGUUUAAAACAAGCACCUAGAGUAUGGCAUGAUUGACUUAAAAAUUUCUUACUGGAUAAUGGUUUUUCAAUGGGAAAGACCGAUACAACUCUUUUUAUUAAACAUAAGAAUCGAGAUAUUCUCAUUGUCCAAAUUUAUGUUGAUGAUAUUAUUUUCGGUUCUAUUAAUGAGUUUUUGUGUAAGGCAUUUUCAUCUUGUAUGAGCAAAGAAUUUGAGAUGAGCAUGAUGGGAGAAUUAAAGUACUUUCUUGGUCUUCAAAUAAAACAAACUGAAGAAGGAAUCUUCAUCAAUCAAGCCAAAUAUCUAAGAGAUUUAUUCAAGAGAUUCUGACUUGAAGAUGAAAAGACAAAAAGUAUUUCAGUGAGCUCGACCAUCAAGCUUGACGAGGAUGAAAAAGGUAAGGAAGUUGAUGUCAAAGCAUAUCGAGGUAUGAUUGGAUUAUUACUCUACUUGAUUGCUAGUAGGCCUGAUAUUAUGUUUAGUGUAUGCUUGUAUGCAAGAUUUCAAUCAUGUCCUAAAGAAUCUCAUUUGCUUGUGGUAAAAGGGAUUGUUUGUUAUUUAAGUGGAACUAUAGGUCUUGGCCUUUGGUAUCCUAGGGGAACACAUAUGGACUUAACAUUUUAUUCAGAUGCCAAUUUUACCGAAUAUAAAGUUGAUAGGAAAAGCACUAGUAGAAAAUGCCAUUUUCUAGGUUAUUCCUUAGCCUCUUGGUUUAACAAGAAACAAAAUUCAGUUGUACUUUCUACCACUGAGGCAGAAUACAUUGUGGCUAGAAAUUUUUGUGCACAAGCAUUAUGGAUGAAACAAACACUUAGAGAUUAUGGUAUUGCAUUAUAUCAUUUUCUCAUUAAAUGUGAUAACACAAGUGUUAUUAAUCUAUCGAAGAAUCCCAUGCAUCAUUCUAGGACUAAGCAUAUAGAAAUUAGACAUCAUUUUCUAAGAGAUCGUGUUAAAAAAUGAGAUGUUGUGAUUGAGUUUUUUUUUUCACCGAAAAACAAUUAGCUAAUAUUUUUACUAAACCCCAGUCCCAAAUUGAAAAAUCCUUAUUUUGAAACCCUAGAACUGCCACACCUUUUCUCUCUCGAUUUGGCCAACUUUUCUUCAAUUUUUUGUUAAAUGAAAUCUUAGAUACAAUUCCUUUGCCUUCUAACUUCAUUUCUAUCGGUUUAUUUUCCUACAAACUCAUUAAUUUCUAAAAUUCCUGUUUGUUCACUACAAUGGCCGGUCGACGACAACAACCUAGGAGGGGUGCUCGAACCAAGCAGGAUGCUCCAACCAAUCUUAGUUUCUCUAGGCCUCUCUCUCAGGACUUCGACAACCUUCAUUUUCCAAAUGGUCACAUGGCUCAACGUUUCCACACAAGCUUCAUGAGAAAAACUGUAACUUCUUUAUUUUACAUUGAUAUUGAUGAGUUCUCUGAUAUUACUAUAUGUGGUAGAACUAUUCCUCAAAUGCUAAGGCAAUGAGAUGAAGUAUGAGAUGUUGAAGAGCAAGUCUAUGAAAACCUAGUUAGGGUGUUUUACUCUGAUAUGGAGCUUUCAGUUACCUGAAAAGAUAGGAUAGUGACAGAUGUUAAAGGUGUUAUGAUCGAGUUUGAUGUUUUUGAGCUUAGUACUAUUCUUGGAAUCUCUAAUGAGGGGCUAGACAUGUACACUCCUAAGAAGGAGCUUCAUUUUACUGGGUUUCAUCACUUAGACGGCAUUAGGAACAUCCGCAGACGACGCGAUCUCUCUGACGACGUCUGUUCAUUGUCUUUUCAGUCCCAACUUUUACCCUUCCAGGUCCGUAUUCUACAUAGUAUACUCUAGCACAUGAUUACACAUAGACAAGGUCACAGUGAUGAGGUAACUAGAUUGGAUGUUGCUUUACUUGAUUCUCUCAUCUGUGGAAGAAAAGUGAAACUCGCAUUCACAAUCAUGCGUCACAUGUUAUUUACUCCUGCUGUGACUAACCGGUCUCUUCUAUAUGGUAGCAUUAUCAGUAGAAUCCUUAGGCAUUUUCACGUUCCCUUGACCGAACCUAUCUAUGUUAAGAUAAAAAACUGGGUAGGGAAAUUAUUUCGGGAAUUGGCUUUCACUAGAAGCAGGGGAAGUGGAUCAAUAUCCUAUUCUUUUUUAUGAUGAAGAUACUUUGGUAGCUUCGAAGGAUAACCAAAUGCUUAAUGAUAUUUAUUUCGAGGAUGAGUUACUUGAUUUUCGACUCGGCACUAGACCUCGUGCACCUUGCUGGGCUACAUCAGCCCAAUCUCAGGAUGAGGAGCCAGCCAAGCUAGUAGAGCACCCUGAGGCACCUUCAAUUUCUAAGGAUCGCAUACAGCAGCUUUUCGACAAAGUGGAUACCCUCUUCAUGCAGCAGCAACAGCUUCAAUCCCAAUUUCAAACAUUUCAGUAGCAGUAACUUCUUGAUGCUCAGCGACGCAUCCUUGCUUCCCUUGGUUUCCAUCUUGGUGGUUCCUCCUCGUAGCCCUCAUCUUAGUUUUUGCAUUUAUGUUUUUCGCACAUACAUUCCUCCUCUCGUUUGUUUUAUGUUUUGGAUGAUAUCAUGUAGUUUUUAUGGUGAUAUUUGGAUUGCAUAGUUAUUUUUAAUUUAACUUGAUGAUUUUGAUGAUUAAAUGGUUACAUACAUGUUGGUUAUUUGAGCUUUGAUUAUGAUUGUAAUGUUUUUUAUGAUAUGUUGCUUAUCUAGUUGCAAAAUUGAUGAAUAUGGAGUUUGGUUGAUUAAUUGAAUCUUAUAUGGGAGUGUUUUAGCUAUUUUUGGUAUUUGAGGAUAUGCUCAUUUUUAAGUGGAGAUUCUACCGAAAAUUUUUGCUCCCACAAAAUGGGUAAUAUCUGAACUUCUUUCUUUAAUCGCUUCAAUUUCUUUUCUUUUUUAUGAUAAAAGGGAAGAUAUAUGGUAUUUUUGGACAAAAAUUGAUUGGCCAUAUACUUAGGGGGAACACAUAUUUAGGGGCAGUAAAAAUUGCAUAAUAUUUUUUGGAAUAAAAGUACAUAUUUUUUUAUUUAUCUUGUAAGGUUUGUCAUCAUAAAAAAGGGAGAGAAUGUUAACAUGAAUAUAUCUAUAAUGAUGAUUUUGAUGAUAACAAACAAGAUUAAAAAUGAAUUAAGUUUUAAAAGCUCAAAUUAUUUUCAUACUUUUUUAAAUAAAUCAUUAUUUUCAUAAAGUAAAAGUUUUAUACUCAAAUGGAAAAUGAUUUCGUGAAAUUGGUUGUUUUCAAGUUCAUGAUCUAAUUCAAAAGUUUUGAAAACUUUGAAAUUAACAAGUAAUUGCUUAAAAUUCUGGAAAUGGACUUAUUUGACAAGUUUCAUAAAGUUUUAGGUCAUAGUAUAAGUUUAUAAAGUUUUGGGGCAAACUUAUAAUUUUAAAAAAUAGUUUAUUGUAGUAGUUCACUGUAGCAAAUGGCUAACCGACAUCUUGAUAACGGCUAGCCAACAUAAAAUAGAAUUGAAGAUUAGCCUCUGGACACUAACGGCAAUCCGACAGCUUAAUAACCGCUAAUCGAUAUCGAACAAAACUGAAGAUUAGCCUUUGGACACUAAUGGCAAAUUGACUUCGUGAAAAUGGUCAGCCGACAUCUUUUUUGCUAGUCGUUAGACGAUAACGGAGAGCCGACAUUUCAAUAAUAGUGAUCUGACAAUUUGAAAUUCUGUCCAACGGUAACUUGCUCAAGUCAAAACGACAAUCUGACUUCGAGUUAACGGCGAUCCGCCUUCGAGCAAAUUAUUUGUAACAGCUAGUUUUCAGCUCAAACUAUAAAAAGGCUCAUUUAAACACAAAUUAUAACGAUUCCAACUAUUGUCAUUAAGUAAACUAUUGACCAUACAACUUUCAUUGAGCUUUAAAUUCUUGUAUUCAUCUCAUUCAUUCACACAUUGAGCUUUUAUUUGUGAUCAAACACAUUAUGUGAGAGAAAUUUAUUUGUAAUCAUUUUUGUGAGAUUAAGUUGAGAGAUUGUAAGUGUUGGGAUAUACUUGGGUUAAGAGAUUGGGGAUAAUCUCUUGUUGUAAAGGUCUAUUGACACCUUCAAAAUCAAUUGUAAGAGUUGUUGAAGCCUUGGAGGCUUAUUUAGUGAAAUCCUUAAGGCUGGUGAGCUUAGAGGCGUGGAUGUAGGCACGGUUGGCUGAACUACGUAAAAAUCUCGUGUUUGCUCUCUCUUACCCUACCUCUUUAUUUUUUAUUGCACAUUAAUUUGUUCAUUUCAAAUUUGAUUGCUUUGUUUAAAUUGUAUUAAGUUUCUUAGUAGCUUAAAUUUUUAGAAACACAAUUCACUCCCUCUUGGGUUGCCUAGUUAGUAUUUCAAUCACAUUAAAGGUUGCUACUGAUAAUGUGGUAAGAACGUUGGUGGACAUUGGCAGUUCCGUAGACAUUAUCUUCAAAAGUGCCUUCGAUCAUUUAGUAUUGACUCACCAAAAAUCACUCCGAACGAUACGCGUUUAUUGAUUUCACAGGUAAUAUUGUCAUCCUAAAAGGCACUGUUACAUUGCCCAUAACUAUUGGUAGAGUACUCCAUCGUAUCAUCAUAUGAUUGACUUCCUUAUUAUUGAUAGUCGGACUACCUAUAAUACUAUUCUUGGCAGGCCAUUUUUAACGAAAACUAAAGCAGCGGUAUCCCUAAAUCAUUUAGCUAUGAAAAUUCCAAUGAUCGCAGAUGUUGUCACCAUCAAAGGAGACCAGCAAGCAGCGAGGGUUUGCUAUAUUGUUGCCUCUAAAGAAAGCUAUUAGAUUAUUUCUGACACUCAGUUGAAGUCGUACCUCACCAGAGACAAAUUAUCUCCAUAUAAGAUAGUAAGAGUAUCAAAUGACACCUAUUCGAAACCCAUAGAUGAGAUCGAAGUACCUUUGGAUCACCAAAUUCUCAAAGUGAAGAUGGGUACCCCAGCUUAGAAAAGUUGGUCUUUCAGCCUCGUUCGGCCAUUGAAGCUCAAGCCAUUGCCGAUUUCUUGACCGAAGUCGCCAAUAACUCUGGAGGUGAGGGAAUCCUAGGAUACCAGAGCUAGACUAAACCAGCAACAGAAGAACAACAACUUUGGGGAAUCAGUAUUGAUGGCUCUCCCAACAUAUGGGAGUGGUGCGGGAGUAAUCAUCUUUGGCUCCAAAAGAGAAAAGUCGUACUACUAGUAAAGUGAUAACACUCUACCUCCUUUUGUUUAUUCUGUUUAUUUUCUUUAAUGUUUAUGUAUUUGAGAUAUUGAGUACCCUAAACUGGUCAAUUGCACUUUUUAAUUCCUUAAGUCUCUAAUGAUAAUAACAAAUGAUCCUAGGAUUUCCUAUAUUCUUUUAAGGAUAACAAAAUAUUGUCAUGUAAUGAUCCCCAAAGUACCCCAAACUGGUCAGUUGCACUUUUUAAUUCGCUCAGUCUCUAAUGACAAUAACAAGUGAUCCUGGGAUCCCCAAUAUUCUCCUAUGGAUAACAAAAUAGUGUUAUGUAAUGAUCCAUGUCUCCACUUUCUAUGAAUGCAUUUGCUUUACAAAAUUUAAUGAUGUGUGCUCUUUUAUUUGUCUUUGAAUUAUUUGAUAUCGAUGAGUAGUUUGAAAUGCUAUAAGAAUAUGUCUGCCAUUAAACAAUCUCCAUAUAUAUCAUUGAACAUUGUUUAUUAUGAUGUAAGAUAGUAUCCAGAGAUUGCCUUAUUCUGGGGUAAACUGGGGUACCUAACCUAUUUCGAUCAUGAUGAUCUACUCAACGUUAGACCCAACAAAAGGGCAGCUAGUAGCCGCCUUUAUCAUUAUUUGUUCACCAUAUUUGAUUCUGAUCGAAUGGCGAAUCAUAAGGUUUUCGACUAUCUUGCAUAAAGGUAGGCCGCCAACUGCAUGUAUCUCUAUUUAUGUCGUUUAUUUAAUUCUACGCGAAUGGAGGAUCAUGAGGUUUUUGACCAUCUCGCAUAAGGGUAGGCAAGCAGCCGCUUUUAUCACUAUUUUUCUCGCAUAUUUAAUUCAAAGUAAAUGAUGGAUCAUGAGGUUUUCGACCAUCUCGUAAAAGGAUUCGCUACAAUUUUUGUUAAGAUUUGCAGCAAGCAUGUCUAAGCAUAUCGUCAUACAAUGAUGAGAUAAGAUUAGGGGUACUCAUAGUACCCAUGCCAAAAAGUCAUUUCUCGAAUAUACCAAGAGGGGACCUUAAGAAGCCUCAAAGAGAGUAGAAAAUAAGUUCGCCUCUGUUGUUAUUCUAGUUAUGGAUUUACAUGCUUCAUUAAUUUGUUACUCUGAUACUUUGGUUAGUUGAUAAGUACUAAGAAUCACCAUAAUCUCCUAAAGAUUAGCAACAAGCAUAUCUAGAUGAAUCGCCAUAUUGAUGAUGAAAUUGGGUUGCUCCAUCAUGAAGUAAGAGAUAGCUCGAUGAGCAUCUAAGUUAAAGAGUACCCGAGAUACCCCAUGCGCCUGGUCAGAUUUCAUAAUGGAUUAAAGAAACAACAUUCAAAGCUUUAUCAUAAAGUAAGAGAUAGCCCGGUGAGUAUGUAAGCUUAAAGGUACCUGAGGUACCCCAUAUGCCUAGCCAGAUUUCAAAAUGCAUCAAAGAAACAACAUCUAAAGCUAUUAAAAAAAAUACCAUUACAUGCAAUCACAAAACAAUUUGGGCACCACGAUAGAAAGGGGUAUAACAAGAAGUCAAUAAAAUAGCUCCAAGUCAGAAUUCAGGAAAAAUGCCAACAAACAAGUAAUAACACCAAAUAAAGUUACAUAUUAGGUGCAUCAUCCUCACAUUCAUCCUUCUGAUGAAAGCUUUGGUUGGGGUAAGCGAAGUACACUGGAUGACCUUCGUGGACUACUAGACUAAGGUAUAUGGGAUUUCGUUUCUGCCUCGGUCACUACUAAGAUAGUCGAUUUAUCGACCCACUUUUCUUCCUUGGGUACCAAUAACCUCGGCCCCACAGUUCAACAUUCAGUCAUUAUACAACCCUCAACUUCAAUGAUCUGUUGGCCACACAAGGCUUCUCCUCAGAUGGAUCAUUGAGGUACCCCUUUAAAGUUUUGUUCUACUGAUUAAGCUUCUCCUCGGAGGACUUGUGGCUUCAGAGUUCAAUUAUUAGUUUCUCCACCUUAGACUGAGCAUUGGAGCCUGGAGGCAGUAUUGAGGUCUUGGAAGCGGUGACUUCGAUAAAAAGUCACCUGCUGCUAGUAGGAAGUACCAUAGAAAAUGCAAGUAAAAGGUUGCUUACAGCACUUAGUUAGGCUCUGCAUAAGUUGGCACUAGCUCUUCUUUAGUAAAAUCCUCAAGUAGAGAGAAGAAGGAUCCUAAUUUUCUUUUGCGCGCGUCAGGGGUAACCUUGAAGUUGCUCUUUUUUAACCGAGCCAUCCACGCGAGAACUUUUACUGAGUGAGUGAGGAAGUAAUCUCUGAGCUUUUAGGUGGCCCAAUUCACCCUCAAAAAGCGAGAAGGCUGGAUGUUUUUUGAAGAAGGAGUGAUACCCGAGCUACUCAAAGAGCCACCAUUCAUUUAGGUAGAAAAAAGGUAUCAAAGUCAUCUAAGGGAGGAUUUAAAUCUGCCAACUACUGCAUAUAAAGAAAAAGGGUCAGUUAUAUGAAUAUUGGACUCUAUUAUUUUCCUUCUGUAAAGCCCCCUCAACUCUCUAAGUGAAAUAUAUGUUUCAAGUAAUUCCGACUAUAAUAAUUAAAGGCCUGAUUGGAAGGAUAUACGAAGUACCAGAUCAAUAUGAAGUGUUAUCUCAUCUGUCUUCGGGCAUUCUAGGGUUUCAUUCUUGUGGGGUACCCAGCGGUCAGCAAAAUAAAGAACGUAGUACUUAAUCUUGAUAUGCUCUAGGCCUCACAAAGUAGCCCUCCUACCACUUAGAAAGCGAGAUUUGUUAGACCUAGAGAAGGAAAGUAAUGGAAUAGUUUUUGGACAUGUGAACUAAUAUGGUCAACCUAGAAAAGGGUAAGUGCCUUUUUCUUACUCAACCAUCGGUGAAGGUGGGCCAAACAUUGCCAUGUGUCGUUCAUAAUUCCUAUACGAGUUUCUUUUGCCUUAAAUACUUUCAUCAUAAAGAGAAUAGAGGGAUUUUUUUGGAGAAUAAAUAGAAUAUUGAAAAUAAAGCACCACGUGUCGACGAGAAGGUUUUGGUGACUGAAAGUUACGCUCAAAGGGUACCCAAUCUAUGCUAGGUAUAUUCUCCAGAUAAACAAAUACGUGGGAUACACCAUGACAGAGUCAAGGAAUUGAAGGAAAUAUCCAAAAACGACCAUUACAUGUGAUGUCCCAAUAGAAUAUUUGAUUUGAUGAAAUCAAAUCAAGAAUAUUCUGUUAGAAAAAGGAAGACAACUGAUAACUCUAUGAAAUGAGUGUUAUCAUGACACUUUUAGACUUAAAUUAAGAUUACUUAAAGAGUAAAUGAUGUGUUUUUAUUGCAUUUUAAGGAUGUUUUGCAUGAACCUCCACUUUAGGUCAUUAUUAAUGAAUUUCAUUUGAUUUAGAAUAAUUUGUGUGUUAGAUCAUUUGCAUGUUUAUAAGUGACCGGAAGCUCAAAUCUCAAUGAAGGAAUGUUGUUGCAAUAGGCUUGCAGAAUAUGGAAAAGAACUUGGCUAUAGAAAAAUUGAAACAAGUCUGGAGCAGUGCAGAUGUUGCAACCGUUGCUGUAGCAACCCUAGAACAACGAAAGAGAAGAUUUCGCGCGAGAUAUUUACUGUAUUGCGAUCUAGAGUUUUCCAAACUGGAAGAUGUACGCCCUAGACCUCCGGUUGCCUUAACUCUAAACUAUUAAAGGUGCACGCAUCACAAGAAAAAAGGCGGCUGUAAUCAAAGAGUACUAACCGAAAGAAAAACAAGAAAGAAAACGAAUUCGAGAAGAUGAAGCAAGCUUGCUCCAGUGAAAAUUCAGCAGAAAAUAAUUAGGCGUCAACUUGUCUCAUUCUUGUUUUGUUACUUACUUGUUCUUUGAGCAUGAAGAUGUAUUCGAUGGUUAAGACAUUUGUGUUUAUCUUUCUUUCACAAGUUAUAAACUAAAUUUAAUGGUAGUUGAGUGACAAAAAAUUUUAAUGGUUUCUUGAUUGAUUAUAUAAAUUGCUGCAUGUUUGCUAUAGCAUUUUGUUUUGAUAGUAUUUAUUCAUAACCAUUAUUUCGGCUGACCACCCAUUUAAUGAUACAAGUUAAGAAAGAGCAGCAAAGGGCCUCUCUUAAUGGAACAUAUUAGAGCAAUAAUUGGUCUGAAAUUGAGUUUCCUGGAUUAAGUUAACUUGAGUCCAAAAAGGCUCGUGCUUGAUUUAAGAUUAGUGAUGAACUAGAUGUAGGAAUUCACUUUGUAGGGUAAAGAGAACCUAAACAUAUAAUGCUAUAUUUUAUGUUGACAUAGCAAUUGGUCACUGUUAGGUUGCAUAAAGAUAGAAGACAUCCAACAUGCAUCCAACAUGCGACAACUGAGGAUGCAUAAAGUUUCUGUCCAUUGUUAUAGGAAAUGCUGCAACAAUUGAACUUAACAGGAGAAGAACAGUAAACACUAUUAAGAGAAUUUUAUCACUCAACUACUCCAUUCCCGAGUGAAUUUAUUCUUGUGAUCGAAGUGAGAAGCAUAUUGAUUGAAUCUUUGUUAUUUGCAUUUUUUUAAUCCCUUAGUUCUAUUAAUUAUUUUAAUUUAGACUUUAGGUUGCACUGUUGAAAUUGCUGUAGCAAUUCGUAUAACAACAAUUCCUGUGGAGAUAUUCUUGAAUUCUCAUCAUUAUAUUAUUUGUUAUGUACACUUGCACAAUUGACACCAAUAGUUAUUGAACUAAAAAAAAAAUACAACAACAACCGACUGCAAUAUCAGCAAAAAAUCAAAAACAGCACAUAAAGAACAGUGGUCCUUCACUGUCACGCCUGAUAUUGUAUAGACAACCUCUACAAUCACUUGUAGUGCAUGCCACGUACACUAAACGACAAUGCCCAAAAAAAAACCGCAUUACUACUCUCCAAGCAUGCUCCUAACGGCUCAAAAAUAGCCAUAAUGGUAAAAGGACGUAAAAAUUUCAAAAAGGACAAAAAAAUCACCACUAAAAAUAUGCCACGUGGCAAGAUACCCAGGCUGUACUAUAUAAAGGGAAAAAGGUUCUAUCUCUCUCAUACUCUUACACACUCAUCUUCUCUAAUACUCAUUACAAAUACACACAAAAAUGGGACUGAGGUCUUCUUCAAUCUCCAGCCAUCAUUUUUAGAGAGCUUGCAAGCUCUCAUCACCUAAAAAAAAUUUUAAGUAGCUGACUUGAGCGUUGGCGUGUGGUCGCCGGCCACUGUGGCUCCACCUCUAACCUCCUUUUCUUAUUUUGCAGGUCUAAAUGCACCAUUUAAAGGGUCCCACAUUCCACAUCUGACCUCUCACUAUUAUCAGCCCUCUUCCACUCUUUUUUGUCUCUUUUAAAGUCUAAAAUAUCCCCUACAACAAAGUUAAGUGAGGUACCCUAAUCUCCAAAAAAUAUAAAUUCAUUGUUUUUGUGAGAUUUUUAUUCAUAUCCCUUACAACCCAAAAUCCACUUAAAACAAUAUAUAUUGCACGAAUUCAC